RNAcentral lists this long non-coding RNA (1453 nucleotides) under Sus scrofa (pig). RNAcentral describes it as "lncRNA (ENSSSCG00035027691.1)". The record is from RNAcentral. Lineage: Eukaryota; Metazoa; Chordata; Mammalia; Artiodactyla; Suidae.
UUAUUUUUGGCCAAGGCAUGCCAGCAGCUUGAUGUGGGAUCUCAGUUCCCAGACCAGGAAUUGAGCCCAGGCUGCAGCAAUGAAAGCACAGAAUCCUAACAACUAGACCUCCAGGGAACUCACCCUGCUUUUUUUUUUUUUAAUCUGAGGAACCCUUCUUUAUCCUCUAUCCUUUAUGUCACAGAUCAAAUAUUUCCUCUAGGAAAACCUCCCUGACUCCUCCAUGCCUAGCUAGUCACUCUCUCUCCUUAGUGCCCACAUCCUUCUCCUUCUGUUCAUGAUGGCUCUUAUUGCAUUGAAUUAAAAUUAUUUUGGUUACAAAUAGGUCUGCCCAGGUUCAAUCUGAGGUUUUUUUUUAUGACAGUGAAUUGUUCUUUGUUUUUAUUAUUUAUUUAUUUAUUUAUUUAUUUAUUUAUUUAUUUAUUUUUGUCUUUUUAGGGCCAUGCCCACAACAUAUGGAGCGGCUCAAGAAAUGGCAAAAAGACAAAAAUAAAUAAAUUAAAAAAAUAAAAAUUUGAAAUAAAAAUAAAAAUAAAAUAAAAUAGUGGGUUCAGAGUUGAGACUCUCUUUAAAGAGAAGCUUAUUUAUCUCAUUCUGAAGCAGCAAUUCUUGGGGAUUCAUGAGGUCAAAGCGAUUUUCACAAUAAUUCUAAGAUGCAAUCUGCCAUUUUCCACUCUCAUUUUCUCAAGAAUGUGCAGUAGAGUUUACCAGGGGCUACCUUCUGUGAGCUACUGCACAGACAGAAGCAGGUGAGAAAGCAGCUCUCUUCUACUAAGCGGGACAUUAAAGAGACUUGUAAGAUGAAAAUGUCAUUCCUCAAAUGUAUUUUUGGGGAAUACAUAGUUAUCCACAAUUUAAAAUGUCUUUAUGCCAACAUGUUAUGUGCUCGUUGUUAUCUUAAAAUAAAUUAAUAGGUCACUAUUUUUUCCAUUUCUUAGUUUUAAUUUCUAAUAAUAAUAUUAAAUUACUCAUAAAUACUAAAUGAUAAUAAUACAGUAAAUAACCUAGAGAAACAAAAAAAUUCUUCAGGAUCCUAAAUAAUUUUAGAAGUAUUAAGAGGCCAAGAGACCAAAAAGUUUGAGAACAUUUGCUCUGAAAUGAUACUCUCCAAGGCUGGCUGAAAGAGAAAAAAAGUUUUACUCUUGACCCUGCUACGUUCCUUAUGCUGUUACUGACUAGUUGCCCAUCAUGGUGAUGUCAGAGGACUUAAAUGCCUCUCAAUCGCUUUUCUAGCUUCUGUACCUCUAAUCGCCGUGCCUAGGUUUCCAAAUAAAGAGGAAUGAUUUUUCUUUCUUACCUGUGCUCAAUAGUUUCCUACGAGAGGAAGUGAUCCGGAAGAUUUGAGAUCCUUUUCUUCUCCUGGUAGAAGGCAGCAGCCCCUUCAGCAGCCCAAGCAGGCAGCCAGGAAUGCAAAAAGCACUCCUCCCGUUCGGAUCUAGCAGCUGUUGUCUGC